GCCAGGCGUGGUGGCGCAGGCCUGUAAUCCCAGUGGCUCGGGAGGCUGAGACAGGAGGAUCCUGAGUUCAAAGCCAGCUUCAGCAACGAUGAGGUGCUAAGCAACUCAAUGAGAUCCUGUCUCUA
This 125-nucleotide small RNA is filed under the name Marmota monax (woodchuck). Lineage: Eukaryota; Metazoa; Chordata; Mammalia; Rodentia; Sciuridae. The record is from RNAcentral.